Molecule: unclassified non-coding RNA, 185 nt
Filed under: uncultured Clavariaceae
Lineage: Eukaryota; Fungi; Basidiomycota; Agaricomycetes; Agaricales; Clavariaceae
Description: sequence contains ITS1
Source: RNAcentral
UCGAAUCCUUAGGAUGUUGCUGGCCUCUAGGGGCACUGUGCACUCCGCCUUUUCAUCUCACCUGUGCACUUAUUGUAGGCCGGACUUGUCAUGAGUCUGUGUCUAUGUUUUUAACACACACCUUUAUAAAAAGUCUAUUGAAUGUCUUUGUUAAGUAGACCUUUACCGGUCGAAAAAUUAAAAUA